Molecule: ribosomal RNA, 253 nt
Filed under: uncultured bacterium
Lineage: Bacteria
Description: partial 16S ribosomal RNA
Rfam family: Bacterial small subunit ribosomal RNA
Source: RNAcentral
UACGGGGGGGGCAAGCGUUGUUCGGAAUUACUGGGCGUAAAGGGUUUGUAGGUGGCUCGCUAAGUCAGACGUGAAAUCCCUCAGCUUAACUGGGGAACUGCGUCUGAGACUGGCAAGCUUGAGUGCAGGAGAGGAACGCGGAAUUCCAGGUGUAGCGGUGAAAUGCGUAGAUAUCUGGAGGAACGCCGGUGGCGAAGGCGGCGUUCUGGACUGUAACUGACACUGAGGAACGAAAGCCAGGGGAGCAAACGGG